Molecule: ribosomal RNA, 233 nt
Filed under: uncultured bacterium
Lineage: Bacteria
Description: partial 16S ribosomal RNA
Rfam family: Bacterial small subunit ribosomal RNA
Source: RNAcentral
GCGCAUGCAGGCGGCCUGUUAAGUCAGAUGUGAAAGCCCCGGGGCUUUAAACCCUCGGAAUUGCAUUUGAAACUGGCAGGCUAGAGUCUUGUAGAGGGGGUAGAAUUUCAGGUGUAGCGGUGAAAUGCGUAGAGAUCUGAAGGAAUACCAGUGGCGAAGGCGGCCCCCCUGGACAAAGACUGACGCUCAGAUGCGAAAGCGUGGGGAGCAAACAGGAUUAGAUACCCUGGUAG